Molecule: ribosomal RNA, 305 nt
Filed under: uncultured bacterium
Lineage: Bacteria
Description: bacterial SSU rRNA
Rfam family: Bacterial small subunit ribosomal RNA
Source: RNAcentral
CCCUACGGGACACAGCAGUAGGGAAUCUUCCACAAUGGGCGAAAGCCUGAUGGAGCAACGCCGCGUGGGUGAAGAAGGUCUUCGGAUCGUAAAACCCUGUUAUUAGAGAAGAAAGUGCGUGAGAGUAACUGUUCACGUUCCGACGGUAUCUAACCAGAAAGCCACGGCUAACUACGUGCCAGCAGCCGCGGUAAUACGUAGGUGGCAAGCGUUAUCCGGAUUUAUUGGGCGUAAAGAGAACGCAGGCGGUCUUUUAAGUCUGAUGUGAAAGCCUUCGGCUUAGCCGGAGUAGUGCAUUGGAAACU